AUUGAACGCUGGCGGCAGGCCUAACACAUGCAAGUCGAACGGUAGCACAGAGAGCUUGCUCUCGGGUGACGAGUGGCGGACGGGUGAGUAAUGUCUGGGAAACUGCCUGAUGGAGGGGGAUAACUACUGGAAACGGUAGCUAAUACCGCAUAACGUCGCAAGACCAAAGAGGGGGACCUUCGGGCCUCUUGCCAUCAGAUGUGCCCAGAUGGGAUUAGCUAGUAGGUGGGGUAACGGCUCACCUAGGCGACGAUCCCUAGCUGGUCUGAGAGGAUGACCAGCCACACUGGAACUGAGACACGGUCCAGACUCCUACGGGAGGCAGCAGUGGGGAAUAUUGCACAAUGGGCGCAAGCCUGAUGCAGCCAUGCCGCGUGUAUGAAGAAGGCCUUCGGGUUGUAAAGUACUUUCAGCGGGGAGGAAGGCGAUAAGGUUAAUAACCUGGUCGAUUGACGUUACCCGCAGAAGAAGCACCGGCUAACUCCGUG
RNAcentral lists this ribosomal RNA (488 nucleotides) under uncultured bacterium. Its description in RNAcentral is "partial 16S ribosomal RNA". It matches the Rfam family "Bacterial small subunit ribosomal RNA", at positions 30 to 507 of the family's 1533-position model. The record is from RNAcentral.